GGAAUAUGCACAGUGGAACUGGUGUUCAAGAGAGAAAAAGAAGGGCCAGCUUGCAGUGGAUUUAAAAGUGGAUAGGAACACAAAAAUAAUUUCAAAAUAGAUGAAAGACCUAAAUGUGAGACAGGAAACCAUCAAAAUCCUAGAGGAGAAAAUAGGCAACAACGUCUUUGACCUUGACCGCAGUAACUUCUUACAUGACAUGUCUCUUCAAAGGCAGGGGAAACAAAAGCAAAAAUGACUAUUGGGACCUCAUCAAGAUAAAACCUUCUGCACAGUGAUGGAAAUAAUCAACAAAACCAAAAGGCAACCAAUGGGAUGGGAGAAGAUGACAUAUUGGAUAAAGGGUUAGUAUCCAAAAUCUAUAAAGAAUGUAUCAAACUCAACACCCAAAAAGCCCAAAUAAUCCAGUGACGAAAUGGCCAGAAGACAUGAAUAGACACAUUUCCAAAGAAGGUAUCCAUAUGUCUAACAGACACAUGCUAAGCUGCUCAAUAUCACUCAUCAUCAGAGAAAUACAAAUCAAAACCACAAUGAGAUAUAAUGUCACACCUGUCAGAAUGGCUAAAAUCAACAACUCAGGAAACAGAGUUGGGGAGAAUGGGGAGAAAGGGGAGCCUCUUGCACUGUUGAUGGGGAUGCUAACUGGUGCAACCACUUUGGAAAACAGUGUGGAGUUUCCUCAAAAAAUUAAAACUAGAACUACCCUACAGCCCAGCAAUUACACUACUAGGUAUUUAUCCAAAGGAUACAAAAAUGCUGAUUUGAAGGGGCACAUGCACCCCAGUGUUUAUAGCAGUGCCAUCAACAAUAACCAAAUUAUGGGAAGGGUCCAAAUGUCCAUCAACUGAUGAGUAGAUUAAGAAGGUGCGGUAUAAUAUACAAUGGAAUACUACUUGGCAAUCAAAAAAAUAUGAAAUCUUGUCAUUUGCAACAAAGUGGAUGGAGUUAGAGUGUAUUAUGCUAAGCAAAAUAAGUCAGGCAGAGAAAGACAAAUAUCAUAUGAUUUCACUCAUAUGUGGAAUUUAAGAAACACAACAGAUGAACAUCAGGGAAGGGAAGGAAAAAUAAAAUAAAAACAGAGAGGGAGGCAAACCAUAAGAUACUCUUAAAUCCAGAACAAAGUGAGGGUUGCUGGAGAGGAAGUGGGUGGAGGGAUGGGUUAAAUGGGUAAUGGUCAUUAAGGAGGGCACUUGUUGGAAUGAGCAUUGAGUAUUAUAUGUAAGUGAUGAAUCACUAAAUUCUACUCCUGAAACCAAUACUACACUGUAUGUUCACUAACUUGAAUUUAAGAAAAUAAAUUUAAAAAAAUGAAUGAGGGAUGAGAAAAUGGAGCCAGAGAAAGAAAGAAAAAUUCUUGAGAAAAUUAGAUGAAAGAAAGAAAGAAAAGAAAGAAAAAUAGAUAAAAGACAAAGGAAGAUUCAGGAACAGGAUUUAAUUUUUCAUUAUUUUUUUGUUGGUCCUCGUCUUCAAAAAAAAAUGUGAUUUCUUUUGGGUGCAUAAGACUGAUGAGGGUUCUGUGCCACAGGAGGAAGGGAAAGGUUGUACCUUAAACAGGAGGUUAUUGAUGAAGCAAGAUUUCAGGAGAGACUUAACCAGACGUUGGAGGAAAUGGUUGUAAUUUUCCAUUUUAGCGGCAGCUGGAAGGACCUUCAUAGUCACCUUCAUUUUGGAUUUUGGAAAGACCUGGCUCGAGAUUCCUCUUGUCUCUCUGGACUUUUCCGUGGGUUUCUAUGCCCGGUUUCCAUCAGCUGCUGCAGCUCAGGAUGUAUGCUGGCUGGAGUAGGGAAGAAAGGAAAUUGAGGAAGACUUUGGUGAAAGGGAUCCAGCAUCUGCUUGCCUCUGGGAGCUGACUCAGAUGCUCAGCAUCUCCCCACACCCAGCUUGUUGUGCUCGGGUUUUGUGCUUUCCUGUGGAGUCCUCUUUAUUUUUCCCCCUGAAUCAGAGUGGGUUGGGAAAUAUAAACACAGGAAUCAUGACAAACUUGUCCAUGUGGGAAAGAAAAGAUGUCACUGCAGUUUUAGUGGAGCGUCUGGGUAGCAGUUACAGCAGAGAAAGAACGAGAAGGCUUCAUUAGGACAAAAACCUUUACUUCUUUUUUUCUUUUUUUCAGUAAACAAAUGUUCUUUGGUCUUAGGUGGAAAUUCAGAGAUGAAAAGGCCAAGUUUCCUGUCCUCAAGAAAUUGCUGGUGUGAUCAGGUCGAGUUGUAAAAAUAUGAUCCACCAAGAACCAAGAUGCCCUGGAGGGGAAGCCAAUUUGCAGGUAAGUUAUGUGCAUCCCCUCCCACCCCAGCUUGAGAACUGGGGAUCCGGGGACAAAUGACGAGAGAAGUCUGUUUGGCGGAAGGAAGUUUCAGCACGCAUAGAGUGGGGUGACUGAUUUUUCGACAGCAGCUGAAAUAAAAAGAAUAGAAGAAAAAAAGCAGAAGUGAAAAAGACUCUUACUUCUUCAUUCAAUAUUUAUGGGCCUCCUACUAUGGGCCAGGCAUGGGUGAAAAGCUUUGCAUGACAUGUAUGGGGAGGGAGUGAUAUCUCCCUUGUGCAAACUCAGAAAAAUCUCGCAGUAUCUGGCCCACUGAUCCUCAUCCUGGGAUCCCUAGACCUCCAGAAGUCCAAGAAGGGAGUCGUGAUGGAUCCGUGGUUAUUUUAAAUGUCUAAACCUGAACUGAAGGUAUUUCAGUAUGACCGAGUAUGGAGGGGAGGGUGGGAGUGGCUGUUACAAGAUGUGAAAGAGGCCAUUCCCCUUCUGAAGAAUGAAAUACUUCCAGUUCUCCAAGAUGUCACGCUCUGGGUGUGUGACACGCAUUACAUCCCUUGUGCCUUCUUCCUAGGCAAUUCUGAGUCCUUUAAGACUUGGAGCAGGUGCCAUGUUAUCAGGCCCGGGCAAGAUCAUGUUUCUCUUCCAUAUCCCAUACACCUAGCGUUUUCCCUGUCAAAACCUUGAUCGCUCCCAGUAUAUCGGAACUGUUCCCAUUGGUGUUCCCCAUAAGACUGCAAGACCCCCAGCCAUGGGAUUAUCUGUGACUCAUGGCCCAAACUCCAGCAUCCAGCAUAUGUUCCACCUAACAUAAUGCCCAGCUCAUGGAGGUGCUUUAUAAACACGUGUUUCAUGAAGUUAUAAGCCAGAGAAAGAGCAAGAGGGUUUCAUCUGCCUAAAAAUUUUACUUCUGCCUUUUUCCUUUCUUUUAGUUUCCUUUCAGCUGCUGUAAAAGACCCAGCCACCUCACCUCACACUUUGUGUGUUCAAACUUCGUUUUCCAGCACAUACUUCUCCUUCAGUUUUGUCUUAGAACCCUUAGUUCUCAGAGCUGGGGGACCAUGUAAUUCAUCCUGCAAAAUAUCUUCCUCUUCAGAAGAACUUGGCCUGACACUGCACGGGGCAGUGGAAAGAGUGCCAGCCAGAGGACCCAAGAGUUGCUUUCUGGAUCUGGCUCUGCCACUGAUUCAUUCAGUGGCCUCUACUACUUACUUGCCUUCUUGGAGCUUUACCUCUUUUGUAAAAAGAAGGAGUGAGCGGGGAUUGGAUACCAGGUGGGAAGUAGCAUAGUAUGGGGAAACAGACAGGAACAUUGUGGAAUCACAUACAUCUGGGGUAGGAUCCCCCUACCCCACGUGUCCUCUUUGUCGGUAACUUUCCUGAAUCAACGCCUCCUGUGUGAAAAGGGAAUGAGGAUCCCUGGCUCUUUAAGCCAUCGUGAGACUAUGCGGGCAAAUGUACAAAGUGCCUGUCAUAUGGUAGCUAAUGAACAAAUCACAUUAAGCUUCUUCACCUCCAGGGGUCUUCCCAUUUUCAUAUUUUCGUAUUCUAGAUUUAUAUACACAAUCAAUCUCAGUCAACAUUUUGCCUCCCCUCAUAUAGUUAUGAAAAUACUUUAUCCGUUUAACCUUUUCUUAUUCGUUCACUUAAAAAUACUUAUUCCAGGGAUGCCUGGGUAGCUCAGUCAUUUGAGUGCGGGACACUUGAUUUUGGCUCAGGUCAUGAUCCCCGGGUCGUGAGAUUAAGCCCCAUGUUGGGCUCUGCCCAGAGUGUGGAGCCUGCUUAAGAUUCUCUCUCUUUCCGCUACUCAAGUGUGCACAUGCACAUGCAUUCUCUGUCUCAUCUCUCAAACCAGGAAACUCUUAACUAUAGAGAAAAAGCUGAAGGUUCCUGGAGGGGAUGUGUGGGUGGGGAUGGGUAUGAUAGGAGAUGGGGAUUACGGAGUGCACUUGUUGUGAUGAGUACCGGGUGUUGUACGAAAUUGUAGAAUCACUAUAUUAUACACCUGAAGCUAAUGUAACACUGUAUGUUAACGAACUGGAGUUUAAAUAAAAACUGGAGGAGAAAAAAUUUAAAAAGAUAAAAAUACUCCAUUUAUUCAUUCAAUAUUUUAAUAACUCACUUGGGAAAAAAAAAUCCUACCUCUGCUCUCUAAGUAUUGGCUAAGUGAUCCUAGAGUAGUGGUCCUCAAAAUUUUUGGUCUCAAGAACCCAUUACACUAUAGAAAAUUGUCAAGGAACCCCAAGAACUUUUGUUUACAUAGGAUGUAUUUAUUGAGAUUAGACAUUAGAACUGAGUGGGGUGCCUGGAAGGCCCAGUAAGUUAAGUGUCUGACUUCCCCUCAAGUCAUGAUCUUGUGGUUCAUGAGUUCGAGCCCUUGCUGACAGCUCAGAACCUGGAGCCUGCUUCGGAUUCUGUGUCUCCCUCCUCUCUGCCCCACCCCUGCUUGUGUGUGCACUCACUCUCUCUCAAAAAUAAACAUCUAAAAAAGAGAAAUUAGAACUGGGUAAUUAUGAGACGAUUUAUUAAUUUAUUUUAAAAUGACAGUAUUCCAUUUCAUGUUUAUAGAAAUGGCAUUUUAAUGAAGAAUAAUUAUAUUUUAUAAAAUAAAAAUAAUUAGUCAAAAGGGUGGCAUUGUUUUAUAUUUUUCAAAUCUCAUUAAUAUCUUUUUUUAAUAUGAAAUUUAUUGUCAGAUUGGUUUCCAUACAACAGCCAGUGCUCAUCCCAACAGGUGCCCUCCUCAAUGCCCAUCACCCACCCUCCCUUCCCUCCCACUCCCCAUCCACCCUCAGUUUAUUCUCAGUUUUUAAGAGCCUCUUAUGGUUUGGCUCUCCCCUUUCUAACUUUUUUUCAUUAAUAUCUUAUUUAAUAGAAGACUGGAUUCUCACAUCUGCUCUGAAGUCAGAUUCUGUGCAGUGUAAUGUUUUGUCAAAGUCUGUGCAGAGAACCCGGUCUCACACAGAUAGGUAAAGUAUAGGAGUCAUUUUAAUAAUCUUAUCAGACAAUUGUGGAUGUUCUUCUUUGAUACUACACCAAAACUUGACAAGUGAUAAUUUCUUAAAUGUUAGUUACAGUGUGAAAUCUGAAACCAUAUCAGUGAGCUUUUCACAUUCUACUGCACUGAAAUCCACUGGUCUACCUUUCCUUUGAGUGGAUUUUUUUUCUUUUUUUACCCACGCAUAACAUUUUAACAUCAUGCACUGGUCAUAUGGAAAAUAUCAAUUCACUGAAUUAUGCAGAUCUUCAGAAUGUUGACUCAUUUCAUUAUACAAUACAAAAAAUCACAUUCCUUAUUAUCACCACCAAUCUCAUCAGAAUGUGAGUAUUAGAAUGUUGUCAAGCUCGUGAAUGGCAGAUACACAUUUUCCAAAAUUUAAAUUCUUGCUUGAAAGCUUGAGUUUAACCAUUGGCAACAAAUGCCAUGAGUUGUUUUUCUGGAAAUGGCAGGCUCUUUUUAUUCAAUUUUAAGAAAAUGUAUGACAUAUGCCCAUGUCUAAAUAGCCAUAGUUUGUCAGUCUCUCUUACAAGUAAUACAAAUAUUUUUUAUUGCUCCCUCUUAAAGCAUGUUUGAGUGCAACUGAGUUUUAUUUUUAUCUUUUAACUGUGAGUGCACGGUGUUAAAGAAUACAACUAUUAAUACAGUUUGGUGCCACUGCCUUGACUCGUGCUAAAGCAUCAGCUGUUUACUCACGAUGGCUUCUCGCCAUCAGUCAACACAGUGUCAGCACAAAUGUCAACACAGUAAAAGAAGCAAUACUUCUUUCUAUUAUUAUGAAAAUAGUUUUUACCUCAGAGACCCCCUGAAAGAAUCUUGGGUAUUCCCAGGGUCCAUAGACCACAUUUGGGAAACAUUGCUAGUAUUUUUUUAUUUUAAAAGGUGAGCUAGCCUCAAAUGUGGACUAGACAUCAAGCAUAAUUUGAAAGCAUUUCUCACUUUUCUUUGAUAAUGACCAUGGCUUCUUUUCCAGAUGACAUCUGCCUAGUAUGUAAUUGGUGACUACAUCCAAGUAAACAUGUGGAAAAUGAGAGCAAGUGGGUGUGUGGGCUCAGAGGGAAUUGCUUGUUUGGAGGAUGAUGGGAGAGCACAGUUCUGGAAGGAGUUCAGUUCUAUGAGUGUAUAUUUCUGGUCUUCAAAAGAUUACCACAUACAUGCUGUCAUACAAUUUAUAAUGUGCCUGAGGGAGGUAGCUUAAUGUAGAGAAGGAACAUGGGCUUUGCACUCAGCCAGUCUUGGGUUCCUAUACCAGCUCUGUUGCUACUGUCUAUGUGAUCUCUACCAAUUAACUUUACCCUGCUAAGCCUUGAUUAUCCCAUCUGGAAAAUGAAAUUACUGCUUAGAAUAGUGUGAUGUUAGGCAUUUAAAGGAUGGGACAUUGAGUGGAUGCUCUGAUGUACCAUACUGACCCCCCUUCAGGAAUACACUUGUUACUGCAGGGAGUGCUGCUGAAGACAGCCCUCAGUGUCAGUCUUGGUGAAAAAAGAAAACUGCUUUGCCCAAUGUCACAACACCUCUUAACGGGCAGCCUGCUUCCAAUGACUGAUCAAUAGCCUGGCUACCUCAUCUCAACUUGGUACAUUUCUGAAAGGCCAUCUCAGCUCCAGUACUCCUCAUGGGGUCAGCUGAUGUCUUUGUUGGACUGUAUUAGAGCUCAGUUUCUCACUCUGCCCAACCCUGUGUCCCUCCCCUUCCCUUCCACAGGUGUCAUCCUAAGUCUCCUGAAUAGAGUCCUGUAUGCUAAUCUUCAAUUCAGAUUCUGGUUUCUGGUGAGCGCCACCUGAUGCCGAUGUUCUAUUAAUGUUGUAAUUAUUAUUCAUGAUCCUCCACUCCCUAUGAUGGUGUGUGGGCUCUGGUAGCUAGGGACCCUUUGUGUGCUGAUCCCUGGUGGUUGUAAGAGGAGGGUUUUGAAACUGGAGCCAGGAGAAGGCUGAAUUCAUCUUCACCAAUUAGGAGGGAGUGAAUAUAGUUUGUGGGAAGGAAGAAAUGGAGUUGUAAUGGGAGGAGAGAUGGGGAGGCUGGGAGAGAAAAAGACAACAAGAACCACCCCCCCUUGGAAUAAGACUAAGAGGAGACUGGGGGGGUUGGACAUGUCUGGUGAGGAUUUUUAUAUAAUAGAUUCUGGAACCACCAUGUUUGGGUACAAGUCCCUGCUCUGACAUUUACUUUCUCUUUGAGCAAGUUGUGUUAUACCUUUAUGCCUCAUUUUUCUCAUCUGUAAAGUAAGAAUAUUAAGAAUACCUACUUCAAAGAGUUGUUUUGAAGAUUCAGUGAGCUCAUUGGAAAUAAAAAAUGAGAACUAAUUUUUUCCAUAUUUUUAUCACUAUCCAAUGGGAACUUAGAGAAGCAUGCAAAAUUACAGUAAUAAUGAUGUAGAUGUACAUAACCUCAAUAGUUUCAUUGAAGACAGAGUCUCUAAGACUGUGUAGGAGAAAGAAGUGAAGUCUUUGCAGAAGAAGGAACAUUUGAGAGAUGGUAGAAUCAGUAGAAGCUUGCCAAAGAAGACAAGUAUGGCAGGGCAGACAGGAUAACACCUGCAAAGGCUUAGAGGUAUGAUAAUUCUGGAGACCAUGGGGAUUUCUACUGUUACUGAUUUGCUCUGAUGGAAAGCUACAGUCUGCAGGAGGAAGUGAGUGGCUGGAGAUGACAUGGAGAAUUGUGCAGCCCCCAACCAGCUCCACUGGAUCCUAUAUGUCAGCUGGGAUUUCAUCCUGUGGGUGCAAAGUAGCACAAUUACAAAUAUAUUUGAGCAAGAAUGUUUUACUAAAGUAUUGUUUGUAACAGCCAAAGACUAAGUGUAAAUUUAGUAUUUUUAAGUAUGGGAUUGAUUACAUUUAAUUAUGGGAAUUUAAAUGGAAUACUAUGCGAUCAUGAGAAAGAAUGAAGCAGAAAGAUAUAUGUGCAGACAUGGGACAGUCUCCCCUUUCUACUUACAGGAGACCAAAGGAUGAUGUAGAGCACAGCAUAGAGUGUCCGUUCAUCUGUAUAAACACAUGGUGUACAUGGAAUGUCUUUGGCAGAAUACUCAGAAAUCAGUAACAGUAAUUGCCUUUGGAGAUGGGAACAUGCUGAAUGGUCUGGAGUGGAAGAAUAUUAUGGAAUGAAUGCUUGUGUACCCCCAAAGUUCUUAUGUUGAAGUCCUAACCCCAAAGUGGCUAUAUUUAGAAGUGGGACCUCCAAAGAAGAAAUGAAGGUUAAAUGAGCUCAUAAAGAUAAGAUCCUUAUCCAAUAGGAUUAAGGUCCUUUUAAGACGAGACAUCAGAGAACUCUCUCUCACUCCGCCCAGGCACCGAGAAAAGGCUCUGUGAGGGCAUAAUGAGAAGGCGGCUAUCUAGAAGCCAGGGGGAGAGCUCUCACCAGAAACCGAAUUGGCAGGAACCUUGAUAUUGGACUUCUAUCUUCCAAGACUGUGAGAAAAUAGAUUUCUGUUGUUUAGGCCACCCGAUCUGUGGUAUCUUGUUAUGGCAGCCAAAGCAGACUAAUGGAAAGAGAGACUUACUUUUAAUUGUAAUUCUUUCCUUUAUAUUAUAGAUAGUUUUAAAUUAUUUGUGUUCCCAGGUUUCACCAGCUUAUGAAAGAGCCACUAAAUUGAGAGAGUAGGAAGCACCUACCCUUUCCUUCACGAGAAUUUCAAAGGUCCCAGUUCUCUCCUUUCAAGCCUCUUCCCCUGUCUUGACAGUGGGCUGGAGGUCAUGUCUUCCCCAGAGUACUGCUGUUGCAGACAUCUCUCUGAUGCCUACAAGACUCCAGAAGUAGAUGCUGCUGUUCCUUCAUAAUUUGAUCUUGGGCAUCAGUGUUGCCCCGUUUGCCUUAGCUUCGCCCCAGGUUGGCCUGGGUAGCACAGGAGCAGCAGCAAAACAGUAAAGAGUACUGAUUUCAGAGUUAGCCAAGCUCAUGAUUGAGACCUUGGCUCUGAACCUUAUUAGUGGACUUGCAUAGCCAUCUAUGAAACUUCUCUGAGCCUCUGUUUUUUCAUUUGAAAAAGGAGAGACCCAUUAUGAAGAUUAGUAAUGAAGCAUAGAGUGUGCCCAGCACCUAGUAGACACCCAUUGUGGCAGCUGUUAUUACAAAUGUCAGGGUUAUUUUUCUUGUCUCCUUUGCAGCUCUUGAAAGUGACUUUGCCAACCCAAGAAACACCAAUGUUCAUUCUGUCCCUGAUUAGUAGGAUUGCUUCCUUGCUUCCCCUGUAUCCAGACUAUAACUUCUUACUCUUCCUGUUUUGUUAUGGCUUCUAAUUUUGAGGAAUUUGGGGUACAUUUUUUCUGGGCUGGUUGGAGGACAUUUAUAUAGGAGUACCAGUAGCCACAGAUAACUUUUUGCUGACCGUAACCACCAGACACUGAUUUUCUUUUAACUUACAGUUAUGUCCUGUUCAACCUGCAGUUUGGGGGCAACCUUUGAAUGGACUACCUUUGAGAACUUAAUACUCACUAACUUGGAGGAAGCAUAUUCCACAAUUUUUUACUUGUCUCUCAGGCAGAUAGUUUAACGAAAUAAGAAGAAUGUUGGCUUUGAGGUCAAAUGUUCCUGCAUUGAUCUUGAUUUUGUCUCUGCUAGUUGGGUGAACUUGGGCAAGUUAUUUAUCUGGUUCUGUCAUCUGUCCAAUGGAGGUAGUUCCUCUCUCGCAGAGUGGUUGGGAGAACUCAAUGAAUUAUUAAAUGUCAAGUAUACUUAUACAAUGCUUAAUAUGUAUUAUAGAACUAGUAAAUGUUAGUUCCCCUUUUAUCUACUUGCAAAUAAGAACACUGUUGGCUUUCAGAGGUGUGCUAGAACAUCUAAGUCAGCAUGGGGAUUGAAGUUGGUCUCCUCCACCUCCAAAUUAAAAUUAAGUUGGGUACAGAUUCUUUAAAAUUUUUUUAAAAAUUUUUAUUAUUUUUUUAAUAUAAUUUAUCGUCAGAUUGGCUUCCAUACAACACCCAGUGCUCGUCCCAACAAGUGCCCUCCUCAAUGCCCAUCCCCCACUUUCCCCUCUCCCCCACCUCCCAUCAACCCUCAGUUUGUUCUGUGUAGUUAAGAGUCUCUUAUGAUUUGCCUCCCUCCCUCUGUUUGUAACUUUUUUCCCCCUUCUCUUCCCCCAUGGUCUUCUGUUAAGUUUCUCAAGAUCCACAUAUGAGUGAAAACACAUGGUAUGUGUCUUUCUCUGACUGACUUAUUUCAGUUAACAUAAUACCUUCCAGUUCCAUCCACGUUGCUUUAAAUCGCAGGAUUUCAUUCUUUCUCAUUGCCAAGUAGUAUUCCAUUGUAUGGAAAGAGCCUAAAUGUCCAUCAUCUGAUGAAUGGAUAAAGAAGAUGUGGUUUAUAUAUACAAUGGGUGCAGAUUCUUAAAUGUACCCAGUUCACACUGUAGAUUAGAGAGCCACAGCUCAUUUUAAGUGAUAAACAGUAAGCCUUUGGAGUCAAUUGUGUGAAUAGCUUUCAACAAUUUUACAAGGGUAUCUGUUAAGAAAUUCUAAACAGGAAUUGUACGCACAUCUUUAAAAUUAUCCAUUCGCUCUGCCUCUUCAAUGAUUUAGAAAUAUUUUAUUUUGUAUUGACAUAUUUUUGUAAGCUAUCCCAAAUUCGUUGUGGCAAGAGUAGCAGUAUAGAACACAUAAACCAAACAAUGAAAUGAAGUACAAUAAAUGAAAGAGCCAAAGAAAGGAUUUGUCCAGGGCAACUUUCUGCCUCGAUGUGUGUUUUGCAUCUUAAUUAUCCUGAAAGCUUUGAGAGAAACAUGCCAUUUUAAUGACCAAACACUACUUGACCUUUCUUUUUUUUUUUUUUCUACCCACAAAGAAAACAUCUAAAGAACAAAACUUUCUGAUAUGGAACAAAUUCUUAUUUUUCUCUGGCACAUCAUUUAUGGUCUUGUCAAAGACAGAGGAAGAAAGGCUUGCUGAGGGUCAUGGGAGCGUGUGGUGCUUGAGAGGCACCUGGCAUUCCUGGCUCUGUCUCCUACUGUGGCAUAGAGCUGUGUGGAGAGCUGGACGUUUUCAAUCACACACUCGCUUAGUCUGUAACAUUAACCCUAUGAGCCUUCUCCACUCCUCCCAUAAUAUUUGCUGUGUAUCUCCUUCCCCAACCCUGGGCUGAUAGAACAAACUAGUAGAAUCAGUUGACACAACCUCUAUCAGAAGCAACGGAGCUCGUCUUAUCCAGAGCCAAUAACAUACAACAUACAAGAUGGCUGAACUCCAAGGUUGCUGCACAUUAACAUACAAGAGGGAAAUUAUCAGUGGAGAAAUACAAUCAAGCCAUGUGGAUGGGUGACAAGAAGUCCUUUGGCCAGAGGAACAGAUUGCAUACCAACGCUGCCCUGGCUCACUGCCCUGAAGAAAUACAUAGCAAUCCACACUCGGGGAAAAUUCCAUGAAAUAGCAGAGCAGAAACCUCCUGAAGCCAAUGGCAGCACACUCCAAGAAAAACAUCCAAUGAACCAAACCCCAAACAACGCAGACCUCAGAAACGUAAAUAAAAAUUAACUGAAAAAGGAAACCUUCAGAGUCUUGGGAAGGAACACAACAGAUUAAGUGACCACAAAACACUAAAACACCAACUAGUUAUUUACCCACUGCUUUGUGGUAAAUACAAGGCCCGUAGUCUCCAGGAGGUUAUUUCUGGGCGCCAAUGACUUAGCACAUAGGCCAGCAAAGAGCAUGGACUUUAUUUUCCUUCCCAGGGCAAGUGGCAUUUAUAAUGGUCCUGAGAACCAGAAGGAAGUUCCUUUGAACCUCUUAGUCUUAUAGCUAUUUAUAAGGAUGAGAGAGGAGCAGAGAGUGGGAAAAACAUUGGGGUUAAAGUCAGAAGCCUUGGGUUUGUGUGCCCUGCCCCUUACUAACUCUCCUAUCCUGGGCAAGCUACUAAACCAUGCUGAGUUUCAGUCUCCUCAUUUGGAGAGAUGAAUGGAUAAUAGUAAUUUGUCCCUCACAAGGUUGAUAUGAAUAUUAAAUGUAAAAAGGGAUAUAAAGAGAAAUUCAUAAGAGGCAAACUACACCAAGACAGCCAGUUGUUCCUGUUACUGUUCUACUUCAUUUUUGUCGGAUCAUAGGAGAAUUAGCAUCUACCUACUUUGGGUGAAUUUCUUGAUAGCUGAGAUGUGCCCCUUUGAGCAUCUAUUCCAACCAGUUUGGUUAAAAUCUAUAACCAUUCACCUCUUUUAAAAGAUUAUAGAAUGCAGAUUAGAGUUUUCUUGAUGACUUAAAAUCAAAGUUAUAAACACCUGCUGUUGUUCUAAGUAGCACUACCGUUCUGUGUGUUUGUUUUGGAUUUUUUUUCCUUCUGGGAGUGGACGCAUAGCCUCAACCACUGACCUGUCUUAAUAGCUUCUCCUACCUCUAUUCUGCUUGUCUAUUUCCAAUUUAGUCAAAACCAGAUAACCAACCUCAUUAAAAAUGAGUGCUAACUCUGAAUCAGGGAGUCUCUAUUUAGAAUCUUAGUAAGAAAAUAUGUGGUGUUCACGCGGGGACUUUGAAAGCACCACAGUGGAGCUCAAAGAUCAUUUUUCUGGCUUGAGAUUAGAGAAUGGCAGGUGUUCGACAAGCUGACCUCAGGGUGAACAUGUGGUGCCUGCGUUAGGAAUAUUUUGGAUGGAUUUGGUCUGCUCACAUCUCUCUCACAUUUUGAUGUAACUGUAAGUGUGAUAAUGGUCAUUUUACAGUCAGUGAAGAGUGAAGGCUGAAUCAGAAGGAUUAACAUGAGGGACAAGGAAGUGUCUUGAGGACUUGUGGAGCAUGCCUGCGUGUGUCAAAAUGUAUAUGAUAUCUUAGACUGUUUUGAAUAAAUUAAAUUCCCUAUUUAGGCCCAGAAACGUUCAGUUCAGCAAAAUCAGUUAUUGGAUUGAUUUCUUCUCUGGACUGACUCACUGUUUUAUUAAUUUUCCCUAAAUAAAUUGUUGUUUUAGCACCAUCACCUCUCGCCAUGAUGGAAUCAUGAUAGAAUCACAGAGGUUUCCUAGUAGAGGAAACCUUCCAGGUCGUACAAUCUUCUGGCUUCCAUACACGACUCUGAAGACCCAUGUUGGUCCUGACAAAUUUUCACCAGUCUGUGGAAUGAUAAGAAAAAAAAUAUGGAAAAUAGGAUAAUGCAGCAUUCUUUUCCUAAAAUUAACUCAUCCCAUUUAAAGUGAUGUCUUGUGUUCUGAUGUCUUUCUCUUCCUUCUCUUCUGGUGUCCUUUACCCUUUUGUCUGAGAUGAUUGUAAUGGUAAGUAGCUGUUAACCUGAAAAAUGCCUAUUCAUCAAAUAACAGAGUUGACCGUGCUAUGUUAGGCUCCUGGUCUGUGGGUGUUUUGUGUGGUUGUUUGAUCUCUGGAUUUCAGAAUGUGAGAACUACAGAUCUAGACCAGCUCCUUCCAUUUUCAGACGAGGGAACAGAGACUCUGAGAAAAUUUACACAACUGAAGUUCACACAACGAGGAAGUUGGAAAGCUAAGACCAGAGCCUGGACUUGCUGCUCUGUCUCCUUCAGGGCUGUGUCCUUCCAUAGCUAGAAUGUCAGUAUUAUUACCAGUUCUGUGGGAUGUCAGUAUUAUUACCGGUUCAUGAGACUCUGGAAGAGGAAGGUAGUGGAGAAAAGGGAGCCUCUAUUUCUUGACCAUGAUGAUGUGCCUGACCCAAUGAUGCUUCAUGUGUAUUAUUUCCUUUAUUCCUCCAACAGCCCUAAAAAGAAGCUAAAAUUGGACGCAUAUUAUAA
RNAcentral lists this long non-coding RNA (13917 nucleotides) under Lynx pardinus (Iberian lynx). The record is from RNAcentral. Lineage: Eukaryota; Metazoa; Chordata; Mammalia; Carnivora; Felidae.